ACCUGGCUGGCUCAGUUGGUAGAGCACUUGACUCUUGAUCUCAGGGUCAUGAGUUCAAGCCCCAUGCUGGGUG
This 73-nucleotide transfer RNA is filed under the name Canis lupus familiaris (dog). It matches the Rfam family "tRNA". From Rfam's summary of the family: Transfer RNA (tRNA) molecules are approximately 80 nucleotides in length. Their secondary structure includes four short double-helical elements and three loops (D, anti-codon, and T loops). RNAcentral also lists the same sequence under 3 other names. Lineage: Eukaryota; Metazoa; Chordata; Mammalia; Carnivora; Canidae. The record is from Rfam by way of RNAcentral.